GACGAACGCUGGCGGCGUGCUUAACACAUGCAAGUCGAACGGAAAGGCCCUGCUUUUGUGGGGUGCUCGAGUGGCGAACGGGUGAGUAACACGUGAGUAACCUGCCCUUGACUUUGGGAUAACUUCAGGAAACUGGGGCGAAUACCGGAUAGGAGCUCCUGCUGCAUGGUGGGGGUUGGAAAGUUUCGGCGGUUGGGGAUGGACUCGCGGCUUAUCAGCUUGUUGGUGGGGUAGUGGCUUACCAAGGCUUUGACGGGUAGCCGGCCUGAGAGGGUGACCGGCCACAUUGGGACUGAGAUACGGCCCAGACUCCUACGGGAGGCAGCAGUGGGGAAUAUUGCACAAUGGGCGGAAGCCUGAUGCAGCAACGCCGCGUGCGGGAUGACGGCCUUCGGGUUGUAAACCGCUUUCGCCUGUGACGAAGCGUGAGUGACGGUAAUGGGUAAAGAAGCACCGGCUAACUACGU
RNAcentral lists this ribosomal RNA (467 nucleotides) under uncultured bacterium. RNAcentral's name for it is "partial 16S ribosomal RNA". It matches the Rfam family "Bacterial small subunit ribosomal RNA", at positions 28 to 506 of the family's 1533-position model. The record is from RNAcentral.